CCUACGGGUGGCAGCAGUGAGGAAUAUUGGUCAAUGGCCGGAAGGCUGAACCAGCCAUGCCGCGUGAAGGUCAGUGCCCCAUGGGCGUUAAACUUCUUUUGUGCGGGAGCAAUAAUGGUCACGUGUGGCCAGACGAGAGUACCGUACGAAUAAGCAUCGGCUAACUCCGGGCCAGCAGCCGCGGUAAUACGGGGGAUGCAAGCGUUAUCCGGAUUUAUUGGGUUUAAAGGGUGCGUAGGGUGUGAGGUAAGUCAGCGGUGAAAUGCCGCCGCUCAACGGGGUGACGAGCCAUUGAUACUGCCUUGCUGGAAUGCGGAUGAGGUGGGAGGAAUGUGUGGUGUAGCGGUGAAAUGCAUAGAUAUCACACAGAACACCGAUUGCGAAGGCAGCUCACGGAUCCGCGAUUGACGCUGAUGCACGAAAGCGUGGGUAUCAAACAGGAUUAGAUACCCGGGUAGUC
This 460-nucleotide ribosomal RNA is filed under the name uncultured bacterium. RNAcentral's name for it is "partial 16S ribosomal RNA". It matches the Rfam family "Bacterial small subunit ribosomal RNA", at positions 338 to 795 of the family's 1533-position model. The record is from RNAcentral.